RNAcentral lists this unclassified non-coding RNA (225 nucleotides) under plant metagenome. RNAcentral's name for it is "partial contains small subunit ribosomal RNA, internal transcribed spacer 1, and 5.8S ribosomal RNA". The record is from RNAcentral.
UCUCCGUUGGUGAACCAGCGGAGGGAUCAUUACAGGACUCGCAAGACUCCUACAACCCUGUGAACUUAACUAUAAGCACGUUGCUUCGGCGGGUGUCUCGGAGGGGGUUCUCCCUCCCCGAGACGCUAAACCCGCCGGCAGCCUACUAUACUCUGUCUCUUUGCGUUGGCAUCUCGAGUACAAUCAAACAAGUUAAAACUUUCAACAACGGAUCUCUUGGUUCUG